UGGCUAUAUCACAUUGUAACACCAGUUCCCGUACGAUCACUGAAGUUAAGCAACAUUGAGCUUGAUCAGUACCUAGAUGGAUGAAUGCUUGAGAAUACCAGUUUUUGCA
Non-coding RNA from Acanthosepion pharaonis, 109 nucleotides. NCBI's taxonomy places the organism in Eukaryota, Metazoa, Mollusca, Cephalopoda, Sepiida, Sepiidae. The record is from the annotation of a GenBank genome assembly.